GGGUUGAUAUUCAUGGAAUUCUUCUUCUGAGAACUUUGAUUGGAAAGAUAUUUGGCAGCAUUGGAUCAGUAGGAGGAGGCCUUGCUUUAGGUAAAGAGGGUCCUCUUGUCCAUACUAGUGCUUGUAUUGCUUCUUUGCUUGGACAAGGUGGUUCCACUAAGUAUCCUAUAAAUUCAAGAUGGUUUCAAGUAUUCAAAAGUGAUCGAGAUCGC
Arachis duranensis is the source of this 212-nucleotide long non-coding RNA. RefSeq lists it as uncharacterized. The record is from RefSeq and is a predicted model, not a curated record. The transcript has 3 exons. NCBI's taxonomy places the organism in Eukaryota, Viridiplantae, Streptophyta, Magnoliopsida, Fabales, Fabaceae.